RNAcentral lists this small nuclear RNA (352 nucleotides) under Castor canadensis (American beaver). RNAcentral's name for it is "7SK RNA (ENSCCNG00000009178.1)". It matches the Rfam family "7SK RNA". Rfam says of the family: 7SK was discovered as an abundant small nuclear RNA in the mid-70s but a possible function has only recently been suggested. Two independent studies have found that 7SK RNA binds the CDK9/cyclin T complex (known as elongation factor P-TEFb). Lineage: Eukaryota; Metazoa; Chordata; Mammalia; Rodentia; Castoridae. The record is from RNAcentral.
AUGUGUGAGGGCGAUCCUGGCUUGCGUCAGUCUGUCACCCCAUUGAUCUGCCAGGGUUGAUUCGGCCUGAUCUGGCUGGCUAGGCGGGUGGUCCCUGUCCUCCCUCACGCGCUCCAGUGCGCCCUCCCGAACGCUGCCGCCGCCUCGUCCGAAAGAGGCGAACCAAUCCCAGAUAGAGGAGGAACCGUUCUUCGGUCAAGGGAAUACGAGUAGCUGGCGCUCCCUGCUAGAAACCUCCAAACAAGGCCCCCAAGAAGAAAUUGCAAAUUGAGGUAUAUCCUUCCUUUCUCCUUAGGACAAAUACAGAGCUUAAAAAUUAAAAUAUUACCUCAAAAAUUAAAAUAUUAUUUUU